AUUUAAAUAGUUUAAAAAAAAUAUUGAUUUGUGGAAUCAAAGUUAUAAUUACUUAUUUUAAAUA
This 64-nucleotide transfer RNA is filed under the name Cucujoidea sp. 39 KM-2017. RNAcentral's name for it is "tRNA-His". The record is from RNAcentral. Lineage: Eukaryota; Metazoa; Arthropoda; Insecta; Coleoptera.